GAAACUUAAAGAGCGUAGUUUAACAGUAAAGCUUAUAAGUCAACCUGUAAACUGCAGCGACAUGAUUUGACUAUAUUACAUCUGAUUCCAAGUCCCAGGGCACAGGGGCAGAGAAAGUUCUCCACUAGAACUUGUAUAUCUUGGUUGAUUGCUCAGUUUCCCGAGUUGUGCUACCAGUAGCAGAAGCGUCGAAUUGGAUGGUUGAAUGAGUUGGACUGAAGUUCGUCUGAUCAUUAUACAGGCAGGGCUUAAGCACAUGCUUUGC
RNAcentral lists this unclassified non-coding RNA (265 nucleotides) under Hevea brasiliensis (rubber tree). Lineage: Eukaryota; Viridiplantae; Streptophyta; Magnoliopsida; Malpighiales; Euphorbiaceae. The record is from RNAcentral.